UUCUCUUUUUUUCUUUUUGCAUUUCUUUUGAAAAAUAAACAUGCUAUGGUGCACAUGAUGCAGACGUGACUGGCAAGUUGUGCAUCUCUGAACAUAGGAUCGAAGCUUCGGCUCGAACUCUGAUCACAAUCAUCUGAAACCCAAAGUCAACUGAUCAACUGUCAUCUGAACCCAAUCUGAGAAACUGAGUCACUAACAGAACCCUG
RNAcentral lists this long non-coding RNA (206 nucleotides) under Lathyrus oleraceus (garden pea). RNAcentral's name for it is "Pisum sativum (pea) long non-coding RNA (PSAT_LNC016214)". The record is from RNAcentral. Lineage: Eukaryota; Viridiplantae; Streptophyta; Magnoliopsida; Fabales; Fabaceae.